UUUAACUGAAGAGUUUGAUCAUGGCUCAGAUUGAACGCUGGCGGCAGGCUUAACACAUGCAAGUCGAGCGGGGGAAGGUAGCUUGCUACCGGACCUAGCGGCGGACGGGUGAGUAAUGCUUAGGAAUCUGCCUAUUAGUGGGGGACAACAUCUCGAAAGGGAUGCUAAUACCGCAUACGUCCUACGGGAGAAAGCAGGGGAUCUUCGGACCUUGCGCUAAUAGAUGAGCCUAAGUCGGAUUAGCUAGUUGGUGGGGUAAAGGCCUACCAAGGCGACGAUCUGUAGCGGGUCUGAGAGGAUGAUCCGCCACACUGGGACUGAGACACGGCCCAGACUCCUACGGGAGGCAGCAGUGGGGAAUAUUGGACAAUGGGGGGAACCCUGAUCCAGCCAUGCCGCGUGUGUGAAGAAGGCCUUAUGGUUGU
RNAcentral lists this ribosomal RNA (425 nucleotides) under Acinetobacter baumannii. RNAcentral describes it as "bacterial SSU rRNA". It matches the Rfam family "Bacterial small subunit ribosomal RNA", at positions 1 to 426 of the family's 1533-position model. The record is from RNAcentral. Lineage: Bacteria; Pseudomonadati; Pseudomonadota; Gammaproteobacteria; Moraxellales; Moraxellaceae.